AUUUUUAAUUGAAAUCUGGUAUGAAAGGUUGAAUGAAAUAUAAACUUUAUUAAAUAUUUUAAUUGAAUUUUUUUUUUUAGUUAAAAAACUAAAUUAAUAUUAGGGGACGAGAAGACCCUAUAGAGUUUUAUUUUAAAAUAAUAAAUUAUAUUUAUUAAUAUUAAGAUUUAUUUAAAAAAUAAAUUUUGUUGGGGUGAUAUUAAAAUUUAAUUAACUUUUAAUUUUAUUUUUAUAAUAAUUUUUAUUAUAAUGAUCCAAUUAAAUUGAUUAAAAAAUUAAAUUACCUUAGGGAUAACAGCAUAAUUUUAUUAUAAAGUUCUAAUUUCUAAUAAAGAUUAU
Molecule: ribosomal RNA, 339 nt
Filed under: Heterogenella bigibbata
Lineage: Eukaryota; Metazoa; Arthropoda; Insecta; Diptera; Cecidomyiidae
Description: partial 16S ribosomal RNA
Source: RNAcentral